GACGAACGCUGGCGGCGUGCUUAACACAUGCAAGUCGAACGGAAAGGCCCUGCUUUUGUGGGGUGCUCGAGUGGCGAACGGGUGAGUAACACGUGAGUAACCUGUCCUUGACUUUGGGAUAACUUCAGGAAACUGGGGCUAAUACCGGAUAGGAUCUCCUGCUGCAUGGUGGGGGUUGGAAAGUUUCGGCGGUUGGGGAUGGACUCGCGGCUUAUCAGCUUGUUGGUGGGGUAGUGGCUGACCAAGGCUUUGACGGGUAGCCGGCCUGAGAGGGUGACCGGGCACAUGGGGACUGAGAUACGGCCCAGACUCCUACGGGAGGCAGCAGUGGGGAAUAUUGCACAAUGGGCGGAAGCCUGAUGCAGCAACGCCGCGUGCGGGAUGACGGCUUUCGGGUUGUAAACCGCUUUCGCCUGUGACGAAGCGUGAGUGACGGUAAUGGGUAAAGAAGCACCGGCUAACUACGUG
RNAcentral lists this ribosomal RNA (468 nucleotides) under uncultured bacterium. RNAcentral describes it as "partial 16S ribosomal RNA". It matches the Rfam family "Bacterial small subunit ribosomal RNA", at positions 28 to 507 of the family's 1533-position model. The record is from RNAcentral.